Molecule: ribosomal RNA, 379 nt
Filed under: uncultured bacterium
Lineage: Bacteria
Description: bacterial SSU rRNA
Rfam family: Bacterial small subunit ribosomal RNA
Source: RNAcentral
UAAUACGUAGGGAGCGAGCGUUGUCCGGAUUUAUUGGGCGUAAAGGGCGCGUAGGCGGUUAAGUAAGUCGGGUGUUAAAUCUCCAAGCUCAACUUGGAGCUGCCACUCGAAACUGCUUUGACUUGAGUCUGGUAGGGGAACACGGAAUACCUGGUGUAGCGGUGAAAUGCUUAGAUAUCAGGUGGAACACCAGUGGCGAAGGCGGUGUUCUGGGCCAGUACUGACGCUGAUGCGCGAAAGCGUGGGGAGCGAACAGGAUUAGAUACCCUGGUAGUCCACGCCGUAAACGUUGCACACUAGGUGUGGGGCCCUAUCGACGGGUUCCGUGCCGUAGCUAACGCAUUAAGUGUGCCGCCUGGGGAGUACGGUCGCAAGACUA